This 492-nucleotide ribosomal RNA is filed under the name uncultured bacterium. Its description in RNAcentral is "partial 16S ribosomal RNA". It matches the Rfam family "Bacterial small subunit ribosomal RNA", at positions 29 to 507 of the family's 1533-position model. The record is from RNAcentral.
AGUGAACGCUGGCGGCAGGCCUAACACAUGCAAGUCGAACGGCAGCACAGUAAGAGUUUGCUCUUACGGGUGGCGAGUGGCGGACGGGUGAGGAAUACAUCGGAAUCUUCUUUUUCGUGGGGGAUAACGUAGGGAAACUUACGCUAAUACCGCAUACGAUCUACGGGUGAAAGCAGGGGAUCUUCGGACCUUGCGCGAUUGAAUGAGCCGAUGUCGGAUUAGCUAGUUGGCGGGGUAAAGGCCCACCAAGGCGACGAUCCGUAGCUGGUCUGAGUGGAUGAUCGGCCACACUGGAACUGAGACACGGUCCAGACUCCUACGGGAGGCAGCAGUGGGGAAUAUUGGACAAUGGGCGCAAGCCUGAUCCAGCCAUACCGCGUGGGUGAAGAAGGCCUUCGGGUUGUAAAGCCCUUUUGUUGGGAAAGAAAAGCAGCAGGUUAAUACCCCGCUGUUCUGACGGUACCCAAAGAAUAAGCACCGGCUAACUUCGUG